This 483-nucleotide ribosomal RNA is filed under the name uncultured bacterium. RNAcentral's name for it is "partial 16S ribosomal RNA". It matches the Rfam family "Bacterial small subunit ribosomal RNA", at positions 30 to 507 of the family's 1533-position model. The record is from RNAcentral.
UUGCACGCUGGCGGCCGGCCUCACCCAUGCAUGUCGCGCGGAUGAAGGGAGCUUGCUCCUGGAUUCAGCGGCGGACGGGUGAGUAAUGCCUAGGAAUCUGCCUGGUAGUGGGGGAUAACGUCCGGAAACGGGCGCUAAUACCGCAUACGUCCUGAGGGAGAAAGUGGGGGAUCUUCGGACCUCACGCUAUCAGAUGAGCCUAGGUCGGAUUAGCUAGUUGGUGGGGUAAAGGCCUACCAAGGCGACGAUCCGUAACUGGUCUGAGAGGAUGAUCAGUCACACUGGAACUGAGACACGGUCCAGACUCCUACGGGAGGCAGCAGUGGGGAAUAUUGGACAAUGGGCGAAAGCCUGAUCCAGCCAUGCCGCGUGUGUGAAGAAGGUCUUCGGAUUGUAAAGCACUUUAAGUUGGGAGGAAGGGCAGUAAGUUAAUACCUUGCUGUUUUGACGUUACCAACAGAAUAAGCACCGGCUAACUUCGUG